CCUACGGGUGGCAGCAGUGAGGAAUAUUGGUCAAUGGACGAGAGUCUGAACCAGCCAAGUAGCGUGAAGGAUGACUGCCCUAUGGGUUGUAAACUUCUUUUAUAUGGGAAUAAAAUGUUCCACGUGUGGGAUUUUGUAUGUACCAUAUGAAUAAGGAUCGGCUAACUCCGUGCCAGCAGCCGCGGUAAUACGGAGGCUCCGAGCGUUAUCCGGAUUUAUUGGGUUUAAAGGGAGCGUAGGUGGAUUGUUAAGUCAGUUGUGAAAGUUUGCGGCUCAACCGUAAGAUUGCAGUUGAAACUGGCAGUCUUGAGUACAGUAGAGGUGGGCGGAAUUCGUGGUGUAGCGGUGAAAUGCUUAGAUAUCACGAAGAACUCCGAUUGCGAAGGCAGUUCACUGGACUGCAACUGACACUGAGGCUCGAAAGUGUGGGUAUCAAACAGGAUUAGAUACCCGGGUAGUC
RNAcentral lists this ribosomal RNA (460 nucleotides) under uncultured bacterium. RNAcentral describes it as "partial 16S ribosomal RNA". It matches the Rfam family "Bacterial small subunit ribosomal RNA", at positions 338 to 795 of the family's 1533-position model. The record is from RNAcentral.